RNAcentral lists this ribosomal RNA (667 nucleotides) under uncultured Geobacillus sp. RNAcentral describes it as "bacterial SSU rRNA". It matches the Rfam family "Bacterial small subunit ribosomal RNA", at positions 28 to 674 of the family's 1533-position model. The record is from RNAcentral. Lineage: Bacteria; Bacillati; Bacillota; Bacilli; Caryophanales; Anoxybacillaceae.
GACGAACGCUGGCGGCGCGCCUAAUACAUGCAAGUCGAGCGGACCAAAUCGGAGCUUGCUCUGGUUUGGUCAGCGGCGGACGGGUGAGUAACACGUGGGCAACCUGCCCGCAAGACCGGGAUAACUCCGGGAAACCGGAGCUAAUACCGGAUAACACCGAAGACCGCAUGGUCUUUGGUUGAAAGGCGGCCUUUGGCUGUCACUUGCGGAUGGGCCCGCGGCGCAUUAGCUAGUUGGUGAGGUAACGGCUCACCAAGGCGACGAUGCGUAGCCGGCCUGAGAGGGUGACCGGCCACACUGGGACUGAGACACGGCCCAGACUCCUACGGGAGGCAGCAGUAGGGAAUCUUCCGCAAUGGGCGAAAGCCUGACGGAGCGACGCCGCGUGAGCGAAGAAGGCCUUCGGGUCGUAAAGCUCUGUUGUGAGGGACGAAGGAGCGCCGUUCGAAGAGGGCGGCGCGGUGACGGUACCUCACGAGGAAGCCCCGGCUAACUACGUGCCAGCAGCCGCGGUAAUACGUAGGGGGCGAGCGUUGUCCAGAAUUAUUGGGCGUAAAGCGCGCGCAGGCGGUUCCUUAAGUCUGAUGUGAAAGCCCACGGCUCAACCGUGGAGGGUCAUUGGAAACUGGGUGACUUGAGUGCAGGAGAGGAGAGCGGAAUUCCACGU